GCAGAACUUUAAGUUAAAACUAACUAUAAAUAAAUAAACCAGCUGACUCAAAUUUAAUAAUCUGGAUAACCUUGUAUGAAAUAAUAAUAUUCAACGGGCCUCCAUGGUUGAUUGAAUCGGCCCAAUAAUGUUAUGGGCCUAUUUCGCUAGCUUCGCUCCUGUUCUUCGUUCUUCACUGCGCUUCCCUCUUCAUUGGUUGUUACUGUGACUGUGAUUUCUUUUUCUUCUUCUUCAGAUUGUUCCAAACUUUAUUUUCCAUUAUUGAUGGCUCCUCAUGUUGCGUUUUGGGUCGACGAGAAACACUCCAAGUUUCAACCAUGGCUGCCACUCUAACUUCUAGAUCUUCUCUCGUUUGCCUUCACCUUUACUCAUUUUUAUUCUUCCUCAUCACCGGUUUUUCCUCAUGGGUUUUCAUAAAAGCUUCCAAAUUUUAGGUGAAGAAAUUAACUUGCUUUGGUUUACUCGUUGAAAACCAAACUAGUGGGUCGUUCUAUGUUUGGUUGAUUGAGCAAUAGCUUCUCUGGUUCGUUAUGAUGACAUGAAAUAACAUCCACCAAUUUCUUACCCAGCAGCAACAGACCUUCAUACAGAUGAGGAUUGAAGGUAGUUGAUUCACAUUCCAAUGAAAAAGUGAAGAAAAGAAAGAUAGUAUAUUGUCUGAAUCCUGAUUAUGUGAAGUUAAAAGCGUUGAAAUUUCAUGCUCGAAAAACAUUAAAAAAGGUAAACGCUAUGAAGGGACAAAAAUUACUAGUAUCGAAUUAAUGUUGUUCGAGCAUGAAAUUUCAAUGGUGUCAACUUUUUCUCUUUUUAUCUUUGUUCUUAUCUAUAUAGAUAACGUGAUUACGUAUUGGGUCAUGUAUAACAAAAGUACAAUACUCUUCUUACGCUAUUAAACAAGGCUUUGGGUAUAAUAUGAAUUUAAUUUAUUUAAAUAUUAAAAUUCACGCACAUACA
Molecule: long non-coding RNA, 954 nt
Organism: Vigna radiata var. radiata (mung bean)
Lineage: Eukaryota; Viridiplantae; Streptophyta; Magnoliopsida; Fabales; Fabaceae
Exons: 3
Source: RefSeq, a predicted model, not a curated record